AGGCUAUCAACCAGUAGAAAAACGAUUUAACGAGGAUUGAUUUGAUAGAAAAAAAAUUUCAACAGCAAAAAGAUGUAAAAUAUAGUGCAAAGAAGAGGAAAGAAAAGAAAAAGAGAAGAAAUAAAAAAGAUGAAGUGAAGUCUUACUAGGAUUUGGAAAUAGGCAAAUCUAGUCCAAUUGGGAAAAUAAUGGUUAAAUAGUUAGGGUUUGAAAACCUAGGGGUGACAAGCGUAAAAUUUUAGGCCGAAAUAAAAGGAAAAUAAAAGGGAAGAGAGUGGCUCAAACCUAAAAUCACUUAAGGGGAAAGUUAACUCUUAAGCAUUAGAACCACUACACCAAAACAGGUUUUUAGCGGCGCUUUUUUAUGCCUUUAGCGACGUUUUUUAGCGCCGCUAAAAGUAUUUGCGGCGUUUUUGAAAGCAUCGCAAAAAACGCUGCCAUUGUCAACGCCGCUAUAGAUCAGGACCUUUAGCGGCGCUUUUUCCACAAACGCCACUAUAGAUCAUGACCUUUAGCGGCGCUUUUACACAAACGCCGCUAUAGAUCAUGACCUUUAGCGACGCUUCAA
RNAcentral lists this long non-coding RNA (568 nucleotides) under Gossypium barbadense (sea-island cotton). RNAcentral describes it as "long non-coding RNA (GBAR_LNC016983)". The record is from RNAcentral. Lineage: Eukaryota; Viridiplantae; Streptophyta; Magnoliopsida; Malvales; Malvaceae.